Molecule: ribosomal RNA, 520 nt
Filed under: uncultured Glomus
Lineage: Eukaryota; Fungi; Glomeromycota; Glomeromycetes; Glomerales; Glomeraceae
Description: SSU rRNA
Rfam family: Eukaryotic small subunit ribosomal RNA
Source: RNAcentral
AGCAGCCGCGGUAAUUCCAGCUCCAAUAGCGUAUAUUAAAGUUGUUGCAGUUAAAAAGCUCGUAGUUGAAUUUCGGGAUCAGUAGGUCGGUCAUGCCUCUGGUAUGUACUGGCCUCACUGGUUCCUCCUUCCUGAUGAACCGUAAUGCCAUUAAUUUGGUGUUGCGGGGAAACUGGACUGUUACUUUGAAAAAAUUAGAGUGUUUAAAGCAGGCUAACGCUUGAAUACAUUAGCAUGGAAUAAUGAAAUAGGACGAUCGAUCCUAUUUUGUUGGUUUCUAGGAUUGACGUAAUGAUUAAUAGGGAUAGUUGGGGGCAUUAGUAUUCAAUUGUCAGAGGUGAAAUUCUUGGAUUUAUUGAAGACUAACUACUGCGAAAGCAUUUGCCAAGGAUGUUUUCAUUAAUCAAGAACGAAAGUUAGGGAUCGAAGACGAUCAGAUACCGUCGUAGUCUUAACCAUAAACUAUAGCCGACUAGGGGAUCGGGAUGAUGUUAAUUUUUAAUGUACUCAUUCGGCGUCC